Molecule: long non-coding RNA, 1780 nt
Organism: Zeugodacus cucurbitae (melon fly)
Lineage: Eukaryota; Metazoa; Arthropoda; Insecta; Diptera; Tephritidae
Exons: 2
Source: RefSeq, a predicted model, not a curated record
UCAAAAUUACUCACGCUCAUCAUUGAUUUAUUUUCCCCAAGUUAAUAAACACCUACUAAAUAAAGCGCUCUAAUACACUCAUACUAUCACUAAAUAGCCUACUCUCUAAGCGCUCAUGCCGCUCUGCUGCUCUCGAAGCUAAACAUUCUCACCUGCAUUGUCUGUCACAUCGUGCGCGCAGUGAAGUCACGACAGCGCUUAAUUCCUAUGCAUGGCUUUGUGUUUCAAGCACUUACUUCGCCAAAGGGGGUAGUGUGUAAGUGAACCGCUCAUGGCUUAUUGUCCGGGAAUUCGCAAGUAAAUUCUCUUUCACAUAACCAAAAUUCUGUUUGUGAAGUAUUCGCUUAACUACCGACAGUCAAUCGAACAUACGUACAGAUGCUUUAUAGCUUCAUCAAUUCUGCCAAACAAAGUUAAACACAAUCAAAAAUCGGCAACAAAAAAAGAAGAAUCGGCAAAACAGACCUUUAAAGACAAACUUCGGCACAUCUGCCCAAAAACUAUAUAUGUAUAUGAGCAUGUAUAUGCCUGUGUGUGGAACUUUAAAGUUAUACGAGUCUACUUUUUUGCGAUUUUGCGGAAUUCAUGUUUGCCAGUGCCGCUUGUGUGCUUUUAUGCUGUUGAACUGCGGUCACAUCGUGCUUUUUCGUUUUUGAUUGAUUGUUUUUUCAUUCUCUUUUGCUUUUCAUUUUUUACUUUGCUUGGUUGUUCGCUAUUUGCUGCUGUGUUCUGAGUUUUAUUUGCUUAACAAGCCAUACUUUAGUUGAUGAAGUACCUUUUUGUGUGCGAAGAGUGUGCGAUUCCUUUGAAUGUAAGUUCAAUUGAGGUUUUUGCAACAAAUAAAUGAACACGCACAAACAAAUACAACAAGAUAUAUAUAUAAAGUAAUACAACAACAUUUGAAUGAAAUUUAAUUUUCAAAUAAAAAUAAAUGUAUUUUAUCGGUUCUUAUUAUAAUAAAACAUUCGUGCUUCAAGCUCAUCAAUUAUCAACUUUCGAUAGCACUUUGGUGCUCUGGCAUCAGCUCUUUCAAAGAAUUUUAUAUUUUCGUGUGUAGAACUCAUUAAAUUUUAGUUUACAAGUAAACAAUGCAUGUGGAUUUCUAAUUGUCUUUUUUUAAUUUGUUUGAGCCGAUACUCUUUUAAUAGGUAGAGGUCCGGUGAUUUCAAGCUUGGACGAACAUAUGUAUGUAUAUAAUCUUCCAGACUAGAUACAUCUCAGUAUUUAGCACAAUUAUUUUGGGGAAAGGAAUUAUUCUUUUCAUGCUUCCUUUUCAUAGAAAUAAAUGUUGGAUCAUAUAGAGACUCUGGAUCGCAAUUCCGCUGUUACUAAUCGCAAUUAGAAGAAACAAAACUAGUGGCACUUUACACUGGCCACUGCAGUCUAAGGCGUCAGCUGAACAAACUCGGGAUCUACGCUCUGCGGACCUGUGCAGAUUCGGUGACCUUUGGAAGCGGAAACACCUGAACACCUACUCCUGGAAUGUCACGCGAUUGCGGGAUUAAGGAGGCAGGCAAAGGGGUCUCUAUAUCCACAAAGGGAAAGUAUCGCGACCACCAGCCCUGCAGCGUUACUCUGUUUUCUUGGAGCUACAUAACUGGACGGUAUUCUUUGAUGAAUAGGAGAAGGCACAAUAGACCGUAGGGUGCAGUGCGUUCCUUUAACAAAAUCUAAUGUAUUCUAAGAGAUCUCUUCAUACUAUAGCUUUGAAUAAGAUAAAAUGGUUAAAGAAAAGGUCAUUAGUGAUCAAAAGGUCAUUAAUAAAGUUACUGAAAAUGUU